Ascosphaera aggregata is the source of this 92-nucleotide non-coding RNA. NCBI's taxonomy places the organism in Eukaryota, Fungi, Ascomycota, Eurotiomycetes, Onygenales, Ascosphaeraceae. The record is from the annotation of a GenBank genome assembly.
GGUUGUAUAGUGUAGUGGUUAGCACAUCGGAUUUUGACGUCAUUGAGCGACAAAAUCUUCCGAUAACCUGGGUUCGAGUCCCGGUACGACCU